This is a long non-coding RNA of Aedes albopictus (Asian tiger mosquito), 416 nucleotides long. RefSeq lists it as uncharacterized. The record is from RefSeq and is a predicted model, not a curated record. The transcript is spliced from 2 exons. Lineage: Eukaryota; Metazoa; Arthropoda; Insecta; Diptera; Culicidae.
ACUAAACAGAGAGAAAGUGACUCACACAAACAAAAAGAAUAUCAUGCGAAAAGCAAUGGUGGAAGAUUCCAAAAACAGGGACCGAAUUCUAGACCGCCCGAUAGGUAGGAGAUUGUCCGCAUCACGACGGUUGAAAACCGAACGGACUCAAUCUAUACCAAAACUUCCGCAUGACAUUUUUGAGUUUAGCAAAGCCAUCUUGACUAGGAAACCUUGACCUAUUGGUAAAUUGUAAAACUAAUUAAAUGUUUAAAAUUUUGUAUUGAUAGUUGAAUAAUUAUAUUUUAGAACCCUUGAAAAAGGUCCCAUACGGACCGAAACGUCGGGAAAAAUCAUAAACUAGUGUUUUCGAUUCCCCAAAAGACUGCAAAGCCAACAUUCCGAAGCAAAAUCAUCCCAGUCGCAUCCCAACCAAG